This 1371-nucleotide ribosomal RNA is filed under the name uncultured bacterium. Its description in RNAcentral is "bacterial SSU rRNA". It matches the Rfam family "Bacterial small subunit ribosomal RNA", at positions 28 to 1381 of the family's 1533-position model. The record is from RNAcentral.
GAUGAACGCUGGCGGCGUGCCUAAUACAUGCAAGUCGAGCGAACGGACGAGAAGCUUGCUUCUCUGAUGUUAGCGGCGGACGGGUGAGUAACACGUGGAUAACCUACCUAUAAGACUGGGAUAACUUCGGGAAACCGGAGCUAAUACCGGAUAAUAUUUUGAACCGCAUGGUUCAAAAGUGAAAGACGGUCUUGCUGUCACUUAUAGAUGGAUCCGCGCUGCAUUAGCUAGUUGGUAGGGUAACGGCUUACCAAGGCAACGAUGCAUAGCCGACCUGAGAGGGUGAUCGGCCACACUGGAACUGAGACACGGUCCAGACUCCUACGGGAGGCAGCAGUAGGGAAUCUUCCGCAAUGGGCGAAAGCCUGACGGAGCAACGCCGCGUGAGUGAUGAAGGUCUUCGGAUCGUAAAACUCUGUUAUUAGGGAAGAACAUAUGUGUAAGUAACUGUGCACAUCUUGACGGUACCUAAUCAGAAAGCCACGGCUAACUACGUGCCAGCAGCCGCGGUAAUACGUAGGUGGCAAGCGUUAUCCGGAAUUAUUGGGCGUAAAGCGCGCGUAGGCGGUUUUUUAGUCUGAUGUGAAAGCCCACGGCUCAACCGUGGAGGGUCAUUGGAAACUGGAAAACUUGAGUGCAGAAGAGGAAAGUGGAAUUCCAUGUGUAGCGGUGAAAUGCGCAGAGAUAUGGAGGAACACCAGUGGCGAAGGCGACUUUCUGGUCUGUAACUGACGCUGAUGUGCGAAAGCGUGGGGAUCAAACAGGAUUAGAUACCCUGGUAGUCCACGCCGUAAACGAUGAGUGCUAAGUGUUAGGGGGUUUCCGCCCCUUAGUGCUGCAGCUAACGCAUUAAGCACUCCGCCUGGGGAGUACGACCGCAAGGUUGAAACUCAAAGGAAUUGACGGGGACCCGCACAAGCGGUGGAGCAUGUGGUUUAAUUCGAAGCAACGCGAAGAACCUUACCAAAUCUUGACAUCCUUUGACAACUCUAGAGAUAGAGCCUUCCCCUUCGGGGGACAAAGUGACAGGUGGUGCAUGGUUGUCGUCAGCUCGUGUCGUGAGAUGUUGGGUUUAGUCCCGCAACGAGCGCAACCCUUAAGCUUAGUUGCCAUCAUUAAGUUGGGCACUCUAAGUUGACUGCCGGUGACAAACCGGAGGAAGGUGGGGAUGACGUCAAAUCAUCAUGCCCCUUAUGAUUUGGGCUACACACGUGCUACAAUGGACAAUACAAAGGGCAGCGAAACCGCGAGGUCAAGCAAAUCCCAUAAAGUUGUUCUCAGUUCGGAUUGUAGUCUGCAACUCGACUACAUGAAGCUGGAAUCGCUAGUAAUCGUAGAUCAGCAUGCUACGGUGAAUACGUUCCCGGGUCU